This 465-nucleotide ribosomal RNA is filed under the name uncultured bacterium. Its description in RNAcentral is "partial 16S ribosomal RNA". It matches the Rfam family "Bacterial small subunit ribosomal RNA", at positions 338 to 795 of the family's 1533-position model. The record is from RNAcentral.
CCUACGGGUGGCAGCAGUAGGGAAUCUUCCACAAUGGGCGAAAGCCUGAUGGAGCAACGCCGCGUGUGUGAAGAAGGUCUUCGGAUCGUAAAACCCUGUUGUUAGAGAAGAAAGUGCGUGAGAGUAUCUGUUCACGUUUCGACGGUAUCUAACCAGAAAGCCACGGCUAACUACGUGCCAGCAGCCGCGGUAAUACGGAGGUGGCAAGCGUUAUCCGGAUUUAUUGGGCGUAAAGGGAACGCAGGCGGUCUUUUAAGUCUGAUGUGAAAGCCUCGGGCUUAACCGGGGAAGUGCAUCGGAUACUGGGAGGCUUGAGUGCAGAAGAGGAGAGUAGAACUCCAUGUGUAGCGGUGAAAUGCGUAGAGAUCUGGAAGAACACCAGUGGCGAAGGCGGCUCUCUGGACUGUAACUGACGCUGAGGUUCGAAAGCGUGGGUAGCAAACAGGAUUAGAUACCCGAGUAGUC